RNAcentral lists this ribosomal RNA (495 nucleotides) under uncultured bacterium. Its description in RNAcentral is "partial 16S ribosomal RNA". It matches the Rfam family "Bacterial small subunit ribosomal RNA", at positions 28 to 507 of the family's 1533-position model. The record is from RNAcentral.
GACGAACGCUGGCGGCGUGCCUAAUACAUGCAAGUAGAACGCUGAAGGAGGAGCUUGCUUCUCUGGAUGAGUUGCGAACGGGUGAGUAACGCGUAGGUAACCUGCCUGGUAGCGGGGGAUAACUAUUGGAAACGAUAGCUAAUACCGCAUAACAGUAGAUAUCGCAUGAUAUCUACUUGAAAGGUGCAAUUGCAUCACUACCAGAUGGACCUGCGUUGUAUUAGCUAGUUGGUGAGGUAACGGCUCACCAAGGCGACGAUACAUAGCCGACCUGAGAGGGGGAUCGGCCACACUUGGACUGGGACACGGCCCAGACUCCUACGGGAGGCAGCAGUAGGGAAUCUUCGGCAAUGGACGGAAGUCUGGCCGAGCAACGCCGCGGGGGUGAAGAAGGUUUUCGGAUCGUAAAGCUCUGUUGUAAGAGAAGAACGAGUGUGGGAGUGGAAAGUUCACACUGUGACGGUAUCUUACCAGAAAGGGACGGCUAACUACGUG